CCUACGGGUGGCAGCAGUGGGGAAUAUUGGACAAUGGGGGCAACCCUGAUCCAGCCAUGCCGCGUGUGUGAAGAAGGCCCUCGGGUUGUAAAGCACUUUCAGUGAGGAAGAACGCCUGGUGGUUAAUACCCAUCAGGAAAGACAUCACUCACAGAAGAAGCACCGGCUAACUCCGUGCCAGCAGCCGCGGUAAUACGGAGGGUGCGAGCGUUAAUCGGAAUUACUGGGCGUAAAGCGCGCGUAGGUGGCUUGAUAAGCCGGUUGUGAAAGCCCCGGGCUCAACCUGGGAACGGCAUCCGGAACUGUCAAGCUAGAGAGCAGGAGAGGAAGGUAGAAUUCCCGGUGUAGCGGUGAAAUGCGUAGAGAUCGGGAGGAAUACCAGUGGCGAAGGCGGCCUUCUGGACUGACACUGACACUGAGGUGCGAAAGCGUGGGUAGCAAACAGGAUUAGAUACCCCGGUAGUC
Molecule: ribosomal RNA, 465 nt
Filed under: Vreelandella stevensii
Lineage: Bacteria; Pseudomonadati; Pseudomonadota; Gammaproteobacteria; Oceanospirillales; Halomonadaceae
Description: partial 16S ribosomal RNA
Rfam family: Bacterial small subunit ribosomal RNA
Source: RNAcentral